GACGAACGCUGGCGGCGUGCCUAAUACAUGCAAGUAGAACGCUGAAGAGAGGAGCUUGCUCUUCUUGGAUGAGUUGCGAACGGGUGAGUAACGCGUAGGUAACCUGCCUGGUAGCGGGGGAUAACUAUUGGAAACGAUAGCUAAUACCGCAUAAAAUGGAUUAUCGCAUGAUAAUCCAUUGAAAGGUGCAAAUGCAUCACUACCAGAUGGACCUGCGUUGUAUUAGCUAGUUGGUGGGGUAACGGCUCAUCAAGGCGACGAUACAUAGCCGACCUGAGAGGGUGAUCGGCCACACUGGGACUGAGACACGGCCCAGACUCCUACGGGAGGCAGCAGUAGGGAAUCUUCGGCAAUGGACGGAAGUCUGACCGAGCAACGCCGCGUGAGUGAAGAAGGUUUUCGGAUCGUAAAGCUCUGUUGUAAGAGAAGAACGAGUGUGAGAGUGGAAAGUUCACACUGUGACGGUAUCUGACCAGAAAGGGACGGCUAACUACGUG
This 497-nucleotide ribosomal RNA is filed under the name uncultured bacterium. Its description in RNAcentral is "partial 16S ribosomal RNA". It matches the Rfam family "Bacterial small subunit ribosomal RNA", at positions 28 to 507 of the family's 1533-position model. The record is from RNAcentral.